UACAGAGGGUGCAAGCGUUGCUCGGAAUCAUUGGGCGUAAAGGGCAAGUAGGUGGUCUCAUUUGUCUGAUGUGAAAGCCUUGAGCUUAACUCAAGAAGUGCGUCAGAAACGGUGAGACUCGAGUUCUGGAGAGGGUCGUGGAAUUCCCGGUGUAGCGGUGAAAUGCGUAGAUAUCUGGAGGAACACCGGUGGCGAAGGCGGCAUCCUGGACCGACACUGACGCUGAGGCGCGAAAGCUAGGGUAGCAAACGGG
RNAcentral lists this ribosomal RNA (253 nucleotides) under uncultured bacterium. RNAcentral describes it as "partial 16S ribosomal RNA". It matches the Rfam family "Bacterial small subunit ribosomal RNA", at positions 524 to 776 of the family's 1533-position model. The record is from RNAcentral.